RNAcentral lists this long non-coding RNA (806 nucleotides) under Brachypodium distachyon (stiff brome). RNAcentral's name for it is "long non-coding RNA (BDIS_LNC000937)". Lineage: Eukaryota; Viridiplantae; Streptophyta; Magnoliopsida; Poales; Poaceae. The record is from RNAcentral.
AAUUACUGACCGGCCGCCGCCCGCGUGCUGGUCGACCGUCGGGAAAGACUAGACCGGUGCGUGGGUCUUUGCAGGCUGGCAGCAAGAGCAUGUGAGCUACGCUUAUAUGUCCUCUACGUGACACGUAUCAUCCGUGUAGACUAAACCAGGCCAGGACCCUGUACAAGUCCCGGUCCCGGUUCCGGUCCGGACAACAACACUGCACAGUUGUCGUAGAUUUCAUUGGAGUUUGAAGACGAAAAUUUUAUUGUCCAUGUUGGUCCGAAGACUUGCGCAUUGAGUACUACGGCCUUGUUCUGGAAUGAUGAUGUGUCCUGGUUUUGACCUCGGAAUAUCACACUAGAUUAGAUUUUUUUUUUCUUUUGGCGGAAACCAAUUGACUCGAGGGAUAAAACGAAAAGUGAUGCUAAUUUGACGGGUUAACAUGAUAAAACCAUGAUAUGAUGGCCCUGAUACCGCUUUUGGAAUGGGCAAGGACCAUUGGUGUCGAGCUUCAACAGUUAGGGGAUGUAAAAUAUAUGAACAAAAAGUCGAUGAUUACUUUCCAACAAAUUAAGGAACCAAAUACAGAGUAUAUACUUUUCUCUUUGGUUUCCGGACACUGUGUGUUGAAGGCGAAACACUACCCGAAGGGUUCUUUAACGGACACAUCUUUUACUGGUACUGAUCCUCUACGUGGCAAGCAAUCGAGCAUGGAUUAGGGCUACUCAAGGCUGGAAUCAUCUACUAGCGAAUUAGCACGGGUAAGGAGGUUCACAUUCACACAUGGAGAGAUCCCUCGCGGACUUGAGUCCACGCCCUGCAGU